UCCCGUUGAUCCUGCGGGAGGUUGCUGCUAUUGGGGUUCGACUAAGCCAUGCAAGUCAGAGAGUAAUCUCGGCGAAAUGCUCAGUAACACGUCGAUAAUCUGCCCUUAGGACCGGGAUAACCUUGGAAAACUGAGGAUAAUACCGGAUAUGGGAUAAAUAUUGGAAUAUAUUAUCCUAUAAAGCUACGGUGCCUAAGGAUGAGUCGGCGGUUGAUUAGGUUGUUGGUGAGGUAAUGGCUCACCAAGCCGAAGAUCGAUAGAGGCCUUGAGAGAGGUAGCCUCGAGAAGGGUACUGAUAUACUGACCCUAGCCCUACGGGGUGCAGCAGGCGCGUAACCUUUACAAUGCACGUAAGUGUGAUAGGGGAACCCCAAGUGCUCUACAUUAGUAGAGCUUUUUUCAAGAGCAAACAUCUUGAAGAAUAAGUGGUGGGAAAGACUGGUGCCAGCAGCCGCGGUAACACCAGCGCCACGAGUAGCAAUCAGUUUUAUUGGGCCUAAAGCGUCCGUAGCUGGUUGAAUAAAUCUUUUGUGAAAUUGUCGGGCUAAACCUGACAGCGUGCAGAAGACACUGUUCAACUUGGGACCGGGAGGAGUCAGAGGUAUUCGGUGGGUAGCGGUAAAAUGCUAUAAUCCUCCGAAGACCACCUGUGGCGAAGGCGUCUGACUAGAACGGGUCCGACAGUGAGGGACGAAAGCCAGGGGAGCAAUCCGGAUUAGAUACCCGAGUAGUCCUGGCCGUAAACGCUGCGAGCUAAGUGUUGCAUAUUCUUCGUGAAUAUGCAGUGUUGUAACGAAGGUGUUAAGCUCGCCGCCUGGGAAGUAUGGUCGCAAGACUGAAACUUAAAGGAAUUGGCGGGGGAGCACCACAAGGGGUGCGGCGUGCGGUUUAAUCUAACUCAACGCAGAGAAUCUCACCAGAAGCGACGGCAGGAUGAAAGUCAGAUUGAAGGUUUUACUUGACGAGCCGAGAGGUAGUGCAUGGCCGUCGUCAGCUCGUGCCGUAAGGUGUCCUGUUAAGUCAGGCAACGAGCGAGACCUGUACCUACAAUUGCUAACGACUCAUCCGUGGGGAUUGAGCACAUUGUAGGGACUGCCUGUGAAAACAGGAGGAAGGUGCAGGCUACGGUAGGUCUGUAUGCUCCGAAUCUUCUGGGCUACACGCGCGCAACAAUGGUAGGAACAAUGGGACACAACUCCGAAAGGAGAAGUUAAUCCUCUAAAUCCUAUCUAAGUACAGAUCGUGGAUUGUAAUUCAUCCACGUGACGAUGGAAUCCCUAGUAAUCGGAAUUCAUCAUAUUCCGGUGAAUAUGUCCCUGCUCCUUGCACACACCGCCCGUCAAACCAACCGAGCAGGGUCUUGGUAAGGGUUUGUUUAUUUGACAAAUUCGAAUCUAGGCUCAGUGAGGUGGGUUAAGUCGUCACAAGGUA
This 1431-nucleotide ribosomal RNA is filed under the name metagenome. RNAcentral's name for it is "bacterial SSU rRNA". It matches the Rfam family "Archaeal small subunit ribosomal RNA". The record is from RNAcentral.